RNAcentral lists this unclassified non-coding RNA (447 nucleotides) under Hevea brasiliensis (rubber tree). Lineage: Eukaryota; Viridiplantae; Streptophyta; Magnoliopsida; Malpighiales; Euphorbiaceae. The record is from RNAcentral.
GGCUUGUUCUCUUUUCGACGGUAAUUUUCGCCUUUCUAUGCUGUGACUCCUCUUGACUUUGAUCGCGAACUUUGGGACAUGAUGGAUGCUCUUUCUCAUCCUGAUCGAGAUGUGCUUUCAGCGAUGGGAUUGGAGCCUCUCUACUGUCUCCGCCGCGUGGCAGUGAAUGAGAACAUGAGUUGGGCUGCUGCUCGCAAUUGGGAUUCACGAGAUCCUGUUAGUACAUGUGAUUAACCAAUUGAGAGAUGGACACAACCCAAGGAGGAUCGUCUUAGCAGAGACUAUCGAUGGAUUGGAUGCCUUAGCCGCAGUCCAUGCUGCCAAGAGAAUAGGUAGCCCCCUACUUCUGCAUAUGUGGAUCUGUGAACACUUUCGGAUUCUCCCCCAAUGAUAAAACCUAUCUCCCAAGGAUGUACAUGGAGCGUUAUCCGAGCUUAUGAUGAUGAG